AGAAAAGCUCUUGCAAACAUCACCUACUCCUGUCAUUUCACUGCUUACUGGGAACCAUGCACUAAGGAAUGGAGCUCAAGUCUUCUGCUGCCUCGUUCUUGGAAGAAGGGAUAGGUCUGCAUUCCAAAUAAAGAAAGGAUGUCCCAUUAAGGAGGAAUGAAUGGUCAAGGCUUGUUUUCUGCUGCUCCAGAGACUGAGCCGUGGAUAAAAGCUGCAGGAAAGAAGAGAUUCCUACGAAAACAGUAGGAAGCCUUUCCUGUUGAAGGUUUUCAAGCAGAGACUGGAUGGCUAUCUGUCUGGAGAGCUUUGACUGUGUCUUCCUUUAUGACAGGCAGAAGGGGGCUGGACUGGAUGGCCUUUGGGGUCCCUUCCAACUCUAGCAUUCUAUGAUUCUUUGACCCAGUUUCACUGGACGAAAACUACUACUGUGACUCAUUUUCUGCAAUCCUCCAAUGAGGCGGCCACCAUCAAAGGCAUUCUAAUUAAAAAAGAUCACCUUUCCUUCUGCUCAGCAGCAGCGGCGCAUCCCCAAACGCCGAGAGGUAAUUGCAUGGCUCGAUAAUGGGUUCUUCCUCUCCUCCUUCAUGCUCUCCUCUUCAUUUUCAAACCCAGCCCGGUCCUUGAGAUGGUGGCAUGGGCUUUGCUUGUCCGCCCCAGGAUUAAAGGCUGCACAGCCGGCUGGGCAGUGCUCCCCAUUGCCUUUUAUUUUAUAAAAAAACAGCUUUAAUUGGUCAGUCCAUUUGCACUUCAAAGGCCUUUUGGAAAUGAGAUCUAGAGACCCGGCUAAGAAACCAAAAAGCCCCAAAGGCCAUCUUGAAGCAGAGAUGGACAUCCCGCCGCUGUGGGGUAUUUGCAGACUCCCCUUUUGCAGCAUCUGAAACUCUCCUCUCAGCCUUUAAAACAAAUUGGCAAGGUGUUCAGAAAUGUGGUUUUUCCACUCCUUUCCAAAUCCCAGAGAACGUCCUUUGAAUACGUGAACAUUGAGCUUCUCCAAUGGUUACAAGAAGGGAUCCUGCUGCCAUAAAUCUUGCCAUUCAAAUCUAUUUGUGUUUAAUUCUGUUUUGAUGGUUGCAUAUUUGCAUAUUUUAAAUUGUAUGCUAAUGUUUUUAUGACAAGCCGCUUUGAGCUCCCUUUUGGGAGAUAAAGCGGGAUAUAUAUAUAUACAGUAGAGUCUCGUUUAUCCAACGUUCUGGAUUAUCCAGCGCAGUCUGCCUCCUGUCUGGAUCCACAGGCAUCAAGGAUUGAACUUUUUACAAAUUUAACUUCCAACAAUGUUGUUACUGCAAGUUCAUUUUAUGUAAUUCUAUUUUUAUUUGUAGUCAAUUUGUUGGUAGUCAAUGUUUUUAUAGUCAAUAUUUUCAAUACAUUGCAAUGUUUUGGUGUUAAAUUUGUAAAUACAGUAAUUAUUACAUUUCGUUACCAUGUAUUGACCUGCUUUUUCUGUCUGUUUGUUGUAAAACAUGAUGUCAUAAUGCAAUUUGAUAUUUAAUAGGCUUUUCCUUAAUCCCUCCUUAUUAUCCAACAUUUUUGCUUAUCCAACGUUCUGCCGGCCCGUUUAUGUUGCAUAAGUGAGACUCUCUCUCUCUCUCUCUCUCU
Molecule: long non-coding RNA, 1596 nt
Organism: Anolis carolinensis (green anole)
Lineage: Eukaryota; Metazoa; Chordata; Lepidosauria; Squamata; Anolidae
Exons: 3
Source: RefSeq, a predicted model, not a curated record